CGAGUCCCCGCCCCCAUCCCGUCCUGUCCGCCUGGCCAGCUAGAGAAGACGCCCUUGUGGGGCUGGAGCCCAAGGCCCCCACCCAGCCUUUCCCACAGCAGCACCUCCCCCGCCUGCACAGCGCUCGCUUUGUUCAUCUGUACAGCUGGGCUCUCCUCCACCACCGCGGCCACCACCGCACACACCCUCUCCCCCUGCCCUCCCCUUCCGACCCUCCGAGACCACCCUCCACUCUGGGCCUCGAGGCUCUUCUUCAUGACCCACUCCUACCCAAGAUGUUUGAAUCUUCCACUGACUCCCAAUGAGCCCUACCAUAGUCCUACCCCAGAUUCUCAACGUCUCUUUCAGAACAUCUACUGAGGGCACCCAGGUCUUUCCUUUGUCAUCCCCUCUCCUUUCCUAUUCCAAGCCCCAUCAUACAGAGCUGUAGGUAGAAUUAAUAAUUGCACGCCAGGCUUCAGAAUUUAACAAGAAGGCAUGUUAAAGUGUGGUUCAAACGACACGACCUCGGAAAGCUGAAUGGAGUCGUCCCCAUAGCCUCACCUCCAUCACAGACCUGUUGGGUUACAGACAGCUGGAGGCAGGGCAGAAAGACACCAAGUUGGCUGGGGAGCGAGAGUGAGGAAGAAAGGAGGCGAGCAGUCUAUAAACCAAUGGUGAAGCCAUUCGCCAAUUCAACCCCCACCCCGAAAUCCAAGCUGACAGUGGAGCCCUACCUUGCAAAGCCUGCUCUCGCCCCAGGAGACCGCUGGGAGGCCCCGUGGGAGCUCAGCUCAGCUAGACUGGGCCUCUUUAACCUGCAGGAAAGGACUGGCAGACACUCUUCCUCAGUGAAGGAAGGAGCAGGAAGCCCCCGAGUCUGGCCUAAAUUCCAGAUGGGAUAGGUUGGAGAAAAAUUCAAAAAGAAAGUCCUCUGCAAAAUGGACAAGCUCUGUUCUGACCCAGUGGCUUUUAUUUUGUGCCCUCUCUCCCUUACCCAGGGCGGGCAGGAGGCUAAACUGUAGGAGUCUGGUCAUUCAUUGACAGGACUAGCAUUAGUGUGGGGGGGGCGGGGGGAGAGGGCACAGCUGGCUAUUGAAGGAGAGACAGCCAAGCAGUGGACAAGAGGGAGGAGAGAAUCCCACCUGCCACCUACUUCAGCUAACAGAGCUGAGCUGCAGAGAAGACUCCGGAGACCAGACAAGCGGACUGGAAGAGCUUUUAGACCAACUGAAUCACUUGGAAAGGACACUCUCCAACCUGUUGACUGGCCUUCAGGCUGUGCUGUGUGCCCCAGGUUUCCAGCUUUUGUGAGCUGUCACUGUGCUGGGGUGGUGGCCUUCUGAUGCAGCUGUCUUCAAGUCAUUCCUGCUCCUGUAAGUGACCCCAAUAAAACUCUUCAGUUCACCAAG
This is a long non-coding RNA of Peromyscus leucopus (white-footed mouse), 1391 nucleotides long. RefSeq lists it as uncharacterized. The record is from RefSeq and is a predicted model, not a curated record. The transcript has 2 exons. NCBI's taxonomy places the organism in Eukaryota, Metazoa, Chordata, Mammalia, Rodentia, Cricetidae.